UUUUAUCAUGCAAUGUCUGACGAGUUAACCUUUAUUUUGAAGCGGUGACUGCAAAAGGCGGACACAGUUCUAUUUUAACCAUGCAAGCCGAAGUUGAAUCAAAGUUGCAGAGAGCUCGCAGCUAGCGAUGGAUGGCUAGAUGGAUGCGCAAUCUCCUUCAUUCAGAUGAAAUAAAAAGAUCAUUCGGUGUAGUUGUACUACACGCAGAGUGGUGGGCGAAAAGGAUGUCAGAAACCGAGUGCAAAGUUGCCAAAGAGCUGACACAAGCGAUGGAAGAAACAAUGCAGCGACUACAGGGGAGAUUCCAGGCCAUCGCAGAACAUUUGGAAAUGAGAUGGGGACACGAAUCAGCUGUCUGGAGGAGAACGUGACAGAGCUCAUGACACAAGCUGGCAUGGACGAGCAACCAGUUACCAAAGAGG
Syngnathus acus (greater pipefish) is the source of this 422-nucleotide long non-coding RNA. RefSeq lists it as uncharacterized. The transcript is spliced from 3 exons. Lineage: Eukaryota; Metazoa; Chordata; Actinopteri; Syngnathiformes; Syngnathidae. The record is from RefSeq and is a predicted model, not a curated record.